This 115-nucleotide ribosomal RNA is filed under the name Campylobacter jejuni subsp. jejuni 305. Lineage: Bacteria; Pseudomonadati; Campylobacterota; Epsilonproteobacteria; Campylobacterales; Campylobacteraceae. The record is from RNAcentral.
UCUUUUAUCUUUGAUAAGUUUUUAUAUAGAAUACUUAAAAAACAAUGUUAAGAGCAAGUUCUAAUACAAACUCUACUUGAAAGAUUUCUAUUAAACUCUAAAUAUUAUCUAUAUU